CACUUGAGAGGAUGUAUAGCAAUAGCUAAUUACACUUAUAAAUAAUAAGUGUAAGAUCGACUAUGUCGAAUAAAAUUCUAGAUAGAAUUAUGAUAAUGACAUUGUCUAUCUAUGUGUCUUGGCCAAAUUACGUGCCAGCAGCCGCGGUAAUACGUAGAAGACAAGUGUUAUUCAUCUUUAAUAGGUUUAAAGGGUACCUAGACGGUAAAUCGAGCCUGCAAAAGGGACUAAUUUACUAGAGUUUAAUAUGAGGAAGUUUGAAAGUACUGUUGGUGUAGAGAUGAAAUUCAAUGAAACCAAAUAUGGCACAGGUAUAGGCGAAAGCAUCUUCUUAUGUAAUAACUGACGUUGAGGGACGAAGGCUUUGUGUAUCGAUUAGGAUUAGAUACCCUAGUAGUCUAAGCAGAAAAUUAUGAGUGUCAUAGGCUAGAUCUAUAUUUUUUUUUGGCCUAUAAAUGAAAGUGUAAGCAUUCCACCUCAAGAGUAAUUUGGCAACAUUGGAACUGAAAUCAUUAGACCGUUUCUGAAACCAGUAGUGAAGUAUGUUGUUUAAUUUGAUGACCCGCAAAAAACCUUACCACAAUUUGAAUGUUUGUAAAGAUUAUAAUGCUUGUCUUUUAAUAGAGAUAAGAAGUUUCAUAUUUACAAGUACAAGCGUUGCACGGCUGUCUUCAGUUAAUGUCGUGAGAUUUUGGUUAGUUCCAUUAAAUUAACGUAAACCCGUACUUUAUUUAUUUAUAAGGUAGUUCACCGCUAUAUUGGAUAUGAUAAAAGGGACUAAGACAAGUC
This 789-nucleotide ribosomal RNA is filed under the name Bryobilimbia australis. Its description in RNAcentral is "SSU rRNA". It matches the Rfam family "Bacterial small subunit ribosomal RNA", at positions 349 to 1191 of the family's 1533-position model. Lineage: Eukaryota; Fungi; Ascomycota; Lecanoromycetes; Lecideales; Lecideaceae. The record is from RNAcentral.